AUACUUACCUGGCAAGAGAGAAACCAUGAUCGCGAAGGAGGUUUUCCCAGGGCGAGGCUUAUCCACUGCACUCCGGAUAUGCUGACCUCUUCGAUUUCCCCAAAUGUGGGAAACAUGACUGCAUACUUUGUGGUAGUGGGGGACUGCAUGCAUGCUUAAA
This is a small nuclear RNA of Molossus molossus (Pallas's mastiff bat), 160 nucleotides long. RefSeq annotates it as U1 spliceosomal RNA. The transcript has a single exon. NCBI's taxonomy places the organism in Eukaryota, Metazoa, Chordata, Mammalia, Chiroptera, Molossidae. The record is from RefSeq and is a predicted model, not a curated record.